This 292-nucleotide ribosomal RNA is filed under the name uncultured bacterium. RNAcentral's name for it is "partial 16S ribosomal RNA". It matches the Rfam family "Bacterial small subunit ribosomal RNA", at positions 505 to 796 of the family's 1533-position model. The record is from RNAcentral.
GUGCCAGCAGCCGCGGUAAUACGUAGGUUGCGAGCGUUAUCCGGAAUUAUUGGGCGUAAAGAGUUCGUAGGUGGUUUGUUAAGUUGGAUGUUAAAACUUUGAGCUUAACUCAAAGUCGGUGUCCAAAACUGGCAGGCUAGAGACAGGUAGAGGUAGAUAGAAUUCUGUAUGUAGGGGUAAUAUCCGUAGAUAUACAGAGGAAUACCAAAAGCGAAGGCAGUCUACUGGACCUGUUCUGACACUCAAGAACGAAAGCGUGGGGAGCAAACGGGAUUAGAUACCCGGGUAGUCC